UNCAAGGAAAGAGUCUAAUGAAGGUGCAG
Molecule: non-coding RNA, 29 nt
Filed under: Mus musculus (house mouse)
Lineage: Eukaryota; Metazoa; Chordata; Mammalia; Rodentia; Muridae
Source: RNAcentral